Molecule: ribosomal RNA, 393 nt
Filed under: uncultured bacterium
Lineage: Bacteria
Description: partial 16S ribosomal RNA
Rfam family: Bacterial small subunit ribosomal RNA
Source: RNAcentral
AUACGGAAGGUCCGGGCGUUAUCCGGAUUUAUUGGGUUUAAAGGGAGCGCAGGCGGAGAUGCAAGCGUGGCGUCAAAUUUCGGGGCUCAACCCCGUCUCGCGUCGCGAACUGCGUCCCUUGGUUGCGGGAAGGGGAGGCGGAACUCGUGGGGUAGCGGUGAAAUGCAUAGAUAUCACGAAGAACUCCGAUCGCGAAGGCAGCCUUCCGGCCCGUCAACGACGCUCAUGCUCGAAGGUGCGGGUAUCAAACAGGAUUAGAUACCCUGGUAGUCCGCACAGUAAACGAUGGACACCCGCGGUUUGGCCUGUAUGGCUGAGCCGCCAAGCGAAAGCGUUAAGUGUCCCACCUGGGGAGUACGCCGGCAACGGUGAAACUCAAAUGAAUUGGCGGGG